Molecule: ribosomal RNA, 253 nt
Filed under: uncultured bacterium
Lineage: Bacteria
Description: partial 16S ribosomal RNA
Rfam family: Bacterial small subunit ribosomal RNA
Source: RNAcentral
UACGGGGGGGGCAAGCGUUGUUCGGAAUUACUGGGCGUAAAGGGUGCGUAGGCGGCUUUCUAAGUUGGAUGUGAAAACUCUGGGCUCAACCCAGAGCCUGCAUCCAAAACUGGAGAGCUUGGGUUCUGGAGGGGAAAGCGGAAUUCCUGGUGUAGCGGUGAAAUGCGUAGAUAUCAGGAGGAACACCGGUGGCGAAGGCGGUUCUCUGGGCAUUACCUGACGCUGAGGAGCGAAAGUGUGGGGAGCGAACAGG